Hymenopellis radicata is the source of this 93-nucleotide non-coding RNA. The record is from the annotation of a GenBank genome assembly. Lineage: Eukaryota; Fungi; Basidiomycota; Agaricomycetes; Agaricales; Physalacriaceae.
GGGGACAUAGCUCAGUUGGGAGAGCAACAGACUGAAGCUCGUCUUUAAGAAAUUCUCUUCUGGAGGUCCCCAGUUCAAUCCUGGGUGUCCCCA